GUGAUAACUCUUUCUGUUUUUAGGAACAAAGAGUGCCCUACAUGUCGAAAAAAAUUGGUCUCCAAAAGAUCACUGCGCCCUGACCCAAAUUUUGAUGCCCUCAUAAGCAAGAUCUACCCAAGCCGCGAUGAAUACGAAGCACACCAGGAGAGAGUACUUGCCAGAAUUAGCAAACACAACAACCAGCAAGCCCUGAGUCACAGUAUAGAGGAGGGACUGAAGAUACAGGCCAUGAACAGGUAGAGUUAAGGUUAUUGAUAUGUGAUGAGAUGGAAUGACAGGAGUCAAUGUACAGAGCAAAACUAUCAAAGUGAAUCUGCCAUGCCUCCAAUUCCAACUCCCUUCCCCAAGAAAGACUCAAUUUGCCUUGCUUAGGAACACGACCCCAAGCAGGGUAAUUCUUCCCCAUGAUGCCCACACACUAGCUUUAAUGCCAGCAAUUCGGGGUGGGAAUGUUUUAACAGGUGUUACUUUGUUCCUCCUCCUGCUUCCCCCUUCUUUCUCAAUUAUCUAUUAAGUGACAGGUGGGGAAGGAACCAUAUUUUUUCAAGUAUUCGUAGGUUUGCUAGAAUUUCUCAUAGCCUAAGAUAGGAGUACAUUUUUAUUUUUCUUAAUUUUAUAUAAAGGAGAAAGACUUACCAAGGCAAAAACAAGUGCUAUCCGUGGGUAAAGUGCUCUCUCAACAUUUAGCACACUGCACACAAAAUGGCACAUAUUCUGUCUUGAAAAUCUGCCCCAAAGUUUGCUAUUAAAUGACACGUACUUUUAAAUCUACAUUCAUGAGCAACUCAAGAAAAAAAACUUUCUUGUAUGUAAUCUUAUGUGCAGAUAAAAAAAAAAACGGGCAGCCCGGUAAUAUAUUAAUAGCUAUGAUAAGGGGAAGCAGUUACCCACAAACUGGAGACAUAGGCACACUAAUAUAUUUAAAAAUAUAAAUAAAUAAAAAAAUUGGAUACACCUAAAGGGUUAAUCCAGCUGCUAUGUUACUUUAUUUUUCUUCUGAUAUGUUUAAUAUACUUAUAUAUUUAGGUUCCCACACAUUUUUUGCCAAAUAACCAGUGAACAUAACUUAAAUGUAUCUGGAAUCCAGUGCUGGGUGCUGGAAUUCCUGACCACUUCCACAUCUUCCUACAUGUCAACUCUGCAUCUUCUUCUUCCUGGUCACAGUUUAAUCAAUGCUUCAAAUAGAAAAGCAUUGAUGUACCAGGCGCAUGCUCGUCAAUUCGAUGGGAAGGAGGAAUGACUGGUUUGAAAGUGUAGAAGGUGUACCCACCUUCUACAAGGACCAGGGCACAUUGUAACAUCCUAAUGGUUAGCGAGGGUUAGCGAGGGUUCUAACACUAGGGAGGGAGGUGAAUUUAGGCAAAAAGUUAAAUAUACUUGUCAGCGUGCAGAGAGCAUCAAUUAUAUUUUUACACAAACAUGACUUUUAGUGUGUGCUGCACAAAAUAUUCCUACCAACUUGACAACUUCUAAAAGUGGAAGUGGUCAUAGAGGUUACAGAAACUCUUUAAUAUAUAAAUGAAAAUAUAAUAAAUAAAAAUUGUAUCACCCAGGAAGAGAACAUGUGGAAAAAAAAAAGAACAAUCCAAAAACAAUAAGUGACAGUGACAACAACAAAGAUAAAAAAGGAGCAGCAUUUAUACAGACCAAUAGGUCAUUACCACCAGGAGGUGGGCAGAAGGUGAGACAUAUAUCUCACAAAACAUUAUAUAUAGAUAUGGCAUGUUAUGCUGCAGCUAUCAGUAAUAAUUAAAAUAAAGACAAGUCUCACAUAUCUACUAUUCAUCAUUCUGUUCACCAGUACAGAUUUCCAUGAUUUAUUUUUAUUUAAAAAAACAUUUAUUUUUUUUUGGUUUCUAAAAAUUAGAUUUUUAUUUUUUUUUAACACCAUUUUGUAGGUUUCUUAGUGGCCAAUUUCUCUAAUUUAUUAAAAUAUUUAAAUAGAAGGGUUUAUCUCCUGAUAAUUGAAUAAAUGCUCUAGCCUUAUGCAGAUUUGAUGCCCCUUCUCUUGUAGGCACCAAGUCCUUAGGUGCGAGACCUAAAACUUUCAAAUCCUGUUAAUUCCUGAUCUUCCAGUUAUUUUUAGGGGACACUUUGAAGGAUUCAAAUCCCGUCUUUUAAAAAGUAAGCAAAAGUAUAUUAUAGGAGCAGUAAAGGGCAACAUCUUGCCUUCCACUAGAAUAGGGUUCUUUAAUUUGUCAUAUACUGACUGCACCUCAAGUGGAAUUAUUAAAUAAGGGUAUUUCAUUCUUAACCCUUAUUUCUCCAAGCAUCCUUAUAUUUUUUUCAGGAUUUAAAUAGAUUAAAUUGUAAACUUAUCUUGAGGAGGUUUUUUAUUUUUUUUAAUAAAUGGGCUCAUUUUCUUUCAAUCUCUAUCUUAGAUGAUUUUCAUUUAACAUGUUAUGCUUCAUGUUUGCGGAGCACUGGGUCUUUGUUACAAGUAUCACUUUAAGUCCAAUUACUUCUGGCUAGCAAAAUGUUGUCUCUUUAUUCUAAGAUCAUUCAUGGAUUUGGGUUUAAAUCCUUACAAUAUAUAUUUGCUGACCCUUUAGUAUCACGUGGUCAGGCUUUGACGUUGAUACUGUCUGUUUUUUUUUGUUGUUUUUUUUUUAAAUCUUUUUAUUAUUGUCUUUCAUUUUUUUUCUUCCAUUGACAUUAAACUUCACAAAAAACAUACAGAGCACAAACAAUAUAAAAACAGUACAAAAAAAAUACAGAAAAUACAAAACAAACCCACCACCCUACGAGAGUUCUCAAAAAAAUUCCAUCUAUUACUCCGAAUUAGAUAAAAUAGUGAUUUAAAUCUCCCUUAGUUUUUUCUCCCAACUGGCCCAUAGACUAGAAUUGUCAUUUAGACAUUUACAGUGAUCUCUCUCCAUCUUAAGUUGGUAGGCAAGUUGAGAAGUUAUUUGUUUGAUGGAAUAAACAUCUUACAAGACAUUAAACAAUGUGUGAUCAGAAAAAGUUCAGGUUUCUUAAAUUUUGGCCAGUUACAAUGCAAUAACAUUACUUCAGGUUUUAAAAAUAUUUUUACAUUACACAAUUUGUAUAUAAUCGCUUGAGCCCACUGCCAAACUACGACCAUUUUUUUACAGGACCACCACAUAUGAAGGUAAUUUCCUUUUAUGUUGUCUACAAUUCCAGCAUUGAGCAUCAAGAUCCUUUGCAAAUGUAGCUGUUUUCACUGGAGUCAUAUACCAAAAAUUUGUUAAUUUAAAUUGUGUUUCUAAUAAGACAAAGGCAUGAACAUAUUUAUUGAUUUUAUAAAAGGAAGAUGACCAUUCCUUUAUAUCUAUAUUUUUACUUAAGUCACUGUUCCAAUUUUUAAUAGCAGUGGGGAUUGUCAGAUCAUAAGCACCCUCUAAAAUUCUAACACAUCUAGAGAACAGCUGUUUUAUUUUACUCUGCUCUAAGAUAGUCUUUAAAAUAUCGUAUAGGGUUCCUUCAGUAACUAAGGCGACCUUCUCUAAAAAAUGCUUAACUCUAAUAUAAGAAAAUAAUUCAUUGUCAGGAAGAUGGAACUCAUUUACCAACAUUUUGAAUGAUUUUAUUUUGCUAUCUAAACAAAUCUCUAAGUGUAUUAAUCUGAUAGUUUUUCCAAGAUUUCACUGUUAAAUUUUCGAUACUGAUUUCUAGUACUUUCAAACUUUGAAAAUUAUAUCAUCCAUAUCUAUUUUUUUCUUGAUUUUUUUUGCCAAAUAGGAAUAAUCUGUCCAAGAAUAUAAAGUCCCGUUAGCUGAAAUUUUUUUAGAUUACAAAUAAACUCUGAGGGGUCUUUUACUUUUGUUGCUUCUAACUCUAAUUCCAACCAAAAUUCUUCUUUAUUUUGUUCUAACAAACUAACCAUGAUAUGCAUAUUAUUAUCUUGUUUUGGCAAAUUUAUAUACUGUCUGUUUUUGUUUUAUCCUUUCCCAUUACUGUUUUUAUUUUAAUGGUGACUAUUAUUUACAGGCAAGGGGUAUAGUGUUAUAGUCCAGCUUGGCUCCUUCUUAUGCAAAUUUCUUCAUGGGUUAUAAGGAAGACCAAUUUAUCUGGGCCAAUAACCCUUGGAACAGCAAGCUAUCUUUCUAUCUCAAUUACAUUGAUUAUAUAAUAAAUGUGCAGAAGGAGAUCUUACUAAUAUAAUCCACUUUUAUUGUUUAUUAAUUACCCUUUUUGGGCUAUCUUUUACUUCUUGCAUUGCCUUUCUUCUAUUGAUUUCUUAGACUUGACACUGAGAGGAGUUGAUAAUAAAGUUAUGACCAACAUACACUAUAAGGAGGUUAUUGUGACCGUUGCUUACAUGCCUCCUGUGGUCACUAUCCCCAAUGGAUUUGAAAUGUCCCUUUUUUGACAAUUCACUAGAUUGGAGACAUUGCUCUUCUUUGUGUGAUUUAAAAAAAGAUUCUUUAUUAUUGAUUAAAACAUUUUUGGAGAGAGCCUAUUCUUCAGUUGAAGGAGUGCCUUUGAACGGUGAUCCCGUCAAAUGUAUGGAUAAUAUGUUUUCAAGUUAUCAUUAUAAUUUACUCAGAAUUGCAGCAGAAUCCACUUAUUCAAAAUCCCCUAUGUCAUGGUGAAAAGAAUUGGCGUAUAAUAAACAUAAUUAUAGUGGUUUGUUGACUUUCUGAAACCGUUCGUCUGUUUGCAGGCGCGUUCGUUAGAAAUUUCCAGUUGGUUUUAUACAAAGUUUGCUAUACGUGUCAAUUUUGUUAAUCUGGUCUCACUUCUCAUUGCCUCCCAGGUUGUUCUUGAGAACAGGACAUUUGCGUAUGGGGACAUAACCGUAGUUCUAAGGGCAGGAGACCCCAGGUUGAAUUCAGUUCUCUAUUCCUUAGGGAAACAUUAACAUCUUGCAUUACUAUAGGUACCUUGGUCAUACAGGACGGUGGCUUUACAAAACACUACAAUUCUGUCAUUUGCCUCUGUCAUAAUUUCAUUGCAUAACAGGUAGGUUUCCUGUUAUUGUUCAGGCCCAUGAUCUGGCCCACUCACAUAAAUAUAUACGCACAUAUACUCAUCGCAUCUUAUACAUGGGUGGCAGCACGUAUCUACUACCACCCUCUCGUUCCUAUAUUUCUACAUAGAAUCUCGUCCUGACUCAAAUCUUAUCCGGGACGAUUUCACAACCCUGUACCUUUUUAUUUUAGAGUGGUACUGGCUUGUGAGAUUUAGGUUAUCCAACUAGGUUUCUGUUUUCCGGUCUUAAUCCAAAAGCUAGUGGUCCCGCGAGGCCUACACCCAUCCUCAUACUCGGAGGUAUACGUCCCUCGGCCCAAAUCAUAGGUAGCCGCCUCGCAUUGUCGCAUAGAGAGGGCCUCCCACGUCACUCCCAUUCUAUCUUAUGCUUUAGUUACCACCAAGAGGCCAACACCCCGCCACAACGUUUCGGUGGCCUCAAGCUCCCCUCGGGCCAACACAUAGUUAGCACCUCAAACGCCGCUUGGCAAUUAUUAGGGACUCAUCUGUCACGUUAAGUUAGCAAAAAUCCAUGUGCCCGAGUAAAGUUUUCCUAAAACUCACCACACCUGCAUCACGUCACGUGUUGGCCACACUUUUACAACACCAUUCCUCACAGCAUUUGGUUAAAUCUAUCAUCAAAGGGCUGUCCGAGGGGUUCCACACGGAUUUGGUACAAUUUUCCAAAUUGGACACUGGAUGGCAAUAAUUUGCAAACCACUUCACAGACACAAAGUUAGUGUGUACACUUAUUAGGACUGAAGUAAAGGAAGGGUUUUGUUGGGAUUUUUAGUUCCCCACCUUUCACAUCUUGGGAAACCAAACCAUAGGGGUUGUCACGGGGAACACUUCACUUAAACCCAGACUAAUCAUAGACUUAUCAGCAACGCAUUCCUCCACCAUUCCCUACCUUAAUUCCCUCAUACCCUCCGACUGGACUCUAUCCACAUGCAAGCUAGCCUUCCCCAGGAUAAAAUUGAGCGCACCUUAUCAAGCAUUGAACAUUACUUACAACUGGGUUCUGGCAACCGUAAAGAACUUCAAUCGCUACUGGGGUCGCUCAAUUUUGCCAUGGCAAUCAUCCCAUAGGGUAGAUCCUUCAUUUCUCGUUACUAUCUUUAUUCCCACGAUUCCCCUCAGACACAUCUCGUAUCACUUUAGACAAUCACGCAACCUCUGCUUUACUCAUGUGGCGGGUUUUCCUUACAUCCUGGAAUGAGUGAGCUAUGAUUAUUCCCCUCCUCUCUGACAUUUCUCCACUCUUUGGUCAAAUGCCGCGGCAAACUCUGGUCUUGCUGCCAUCUGGGAGAGCAAUGGCUUUGGGGGUUAUGGUAUACAGAUAUUAAAUCCCUGCCCAGCUUCUCCACUACAUCGGCCUUGUUUGAGUUAUAUCCGAUCGUGGUAGCUGCCAUUACCUGGGGACCAACAUGGUCUGGUCACUCGGUCGGAUGUUAUUCAGAUAACCUAGCCACUUGCCUCAUUAUGCACAAUGGCCGGUAUUCAUCUUUGGUCAUAAUGAGACUAUUGGGGAAACUCACAAGGGUAAGUGCCUCUUGCCAAUUUUACCACAUGUAUUCACAUUCCAGGUUUCACAAACCUCUCAGCUGACCAAUUGUCUCGGUUUUCAUUUUAGGCUUUCUUCCAGACACUACCCACCACCUCCAGACUGGCUACCCCUGCCCCACCAUUUCAAGACAUAAUCUUGAAUUACAUGUUUUGUUAAUCCAGGCACGUCACGUUUCGCACCUUGCACUUUCUGUCAACACUAGAAAUCAUACGAUAGGAUUUCACAUUUUCACUAAGUUUAUAGCAGAGUUUCAAGUUCUUGACAUAUUUGCUUUGGAAUCUAUUCGGGGGUUCACUUCUUUUGUCACCUUAACCUUAAAUUAUCAUUUAACACAAUUAAACUGUACCUUAUGGGAAUCCAACACCACAUGCUUCUACGACACCCCAACAGUACAGAAUUCCUUUCAUCAUAUCAGAUAAAGACAUUACUGAAAGGAAUUAAAAAGAUAUAUACAUAUACCAUCUAAAGGCUUCCCAUCCACAUCAACAUUUUUCAUUCACUAUCCAAUACCUUAACCUAAAAUUACUCUGUUUCCUACUCAAAACAAUGGUGUCCUGGACAAUAUUUCAUCACUUUACCGUAACAACCACACCAACCAUUAUUAGAACUUCAUGACUCCAUCCUUGCAACAUCUCUAUUCAUGCUUUAAGUUCGCUUACUGUUAACUAGGCUCGGCCUAAAUGCAAACCUUUUUUCAAGACACUCCUUCCGUAUAGGGCAGCGUCUGCAGCUUCCUCCAACCACAUUACAGCUCAUAUCAUCAAGGCUAUGGGACCGUGGAAGUCCUCCGCAUAUACUCUUUACAUUUCAAACCCAGUUAAAGAGUUAAGACAAGCUUUUCGUGACUUGUCCAAAUAAACAAUGUUUUGUUAUAUGAAUAAAUUUUGUAUGGUACUUUUCUUUUUGCCCACUUUUAUUACAGGCCUACUGCUUUGUCGGUUCCGGCACACCACAACCGACUGAUGUCAGUUGGUAUAUUUUUAUUGGUUAUAAUAUGUUAUGUUACAUUUUCCAUCACGGCCAGAUUGCCCCGACUGCAAAUGUAAGGCUUGGCCUGUAGUUGUGGGGGGGGGCUUGAAACCCCUUACAAGGGCUGCCAAUGCACUCCCACCUUAUCAUGGAUUGUCUGGCGAGUCACCCCUCCAACCACUCCCUUUAUUCAUAUCACCAUCUUAGGUGGGCCCACUUUUACCAAAGGCCUACUGCUUUGUUCCGGCACACCACAACCGACUGAUGUCAAUUGGUAUAUGUUUAUUGGUUAUAAUAUGUUAUGUUACCUUUUCCAUCACGGCCAGAUUGCCCCGACUACAAAUAAAUAUAUAUAUAUAUAUAUAUAUAUAUAUAUAUUUAUAACCAUAUAAAUAGUCUUAUAAAAACAGGGUUAAUAACUAAUAUAGAAAUUAUGCAUAUAUCCACAGGAAUAUAAUUAAUUUGCUUUUAUAAUUGUUACAGCAAUUUUAGUUGGCUGCAGCUUAGUUGUCAUGGUCUCUUAUUGUUUUUUGAUUGUUGUAGUUUUUAAUUACUUAUACAAUGUACUAAAGGAUUACUCCAACCUCAAAGACCACCUCUGCUUUUCAAAGCAGUCAUAGUGGUAGGAAUCUGUAUAUGCAGCUUGUUCCAUGCAGCCUAAAGUCAAUUAUGUACACAAUUUAAAUUCGUCGUCAGCACACUCGGACAUUUAUACAUUUUAAUAUUAUUUAAAUGAUAUAUUAAGCAUACCUACUUUUUAUUUUAUUUAUGUCAUGCUAUAUGAACAAGGAUUGAAAAAUAUUGCUUAUCAGUCUAGUUUUGCUUUAAAAAAAAAAAAAAAAAAAAUGUUUUUAAUGAAAAUGUUAAAGAGAGCAAAAUGACAAAGACCAAUAUGGCUAAUAUAACUAAAGAGCAGUCUUCUCUGUGUCCAGGAUAGGGUUCAGCUCAGGUAUGAAGUAAGUAUUCAAUAAAAAAGACCAAAAAAAACAGACCAGAAAAAUACAAAUUAGAAAUGAGAGGAAUCUAUAUUUGAUAAGUAAGGGAAGAGAUGGAAGCACAAGAGUUGGGGGAAAAAAGGUAAAAUCAACAAUAAUUUGGGGGGAGGGGGAAAGUGGAGGUGCUGCUUAUGCAUUAGGAUGGAACACUUCCACACCCUCUGCAACACUUAAGCGGUAUGUAAUAUUGCCUUAAUCUUUUCUGUGGGUAUUCUAUGCCAAGUUUUGUUCCCAUUUUACCGUACUGGACAUCUAUCUUCCAGUAUUGAGCUCCGCCAAUCUGGUCAUGGUUAACAUCCAGAGGACCAGGGAUUCAGGGGAGAGAAAGGUUUGAAUAGAGGAUAGAAUAGAACAAACAUUCUACAUAAAUAUGUAUUUCAACCUAUGCCUAGUGCUGCAGAAAUAGGAGGACAAAAAUGGGAGUGAGACCAUCUGCAGAUAGUUAUGUUGUUAUUUUUUUUUUUUAUCGUGGUGAUAAUAAUUGUUACAAGAAAUUUCAGUUUAGUCAUCCUCCACAAAUGUAACUCUUUGGUUGUUAGUCAUUGAGUUGGGAGUCUGUGUUUUGUGAAGGAUUCCUAAAUUCCAGUAUAAUCUGACUGUGGCAUUCAGAGAUUGAGCAGAUCUGAUCACAUAUGUGGGUUUUUAUUACAGACUACAGAGAGGAAAGAAGCAGCAGGUGGAGAAUGGGAGUGGAGCAGAAGAUAACGCAGACAGUUCCCACUGCAGUAACGCCUCUGUACACAGCAACCAGGAAGCUGGUCCCAGCAAUAAGAGAACCAAAACAUCUGAUGACUCUGGACUAGAGCUAGACACCAAUAAUGAGACUGUCUCAAUUGACCCUGCCAUGGAUGGAGCUAGCGAAAUCGAGUUAGUCUUCAGACCUCACCCCACACUGAUGGAGAAAGAUGAUAGUGCCCAGACUCGGUAAGCAAUGGGUCUUCAAGCAGGAGAGUCAUAAUAUGACUUUACAAUAGUAUUAAUUCAGGGUGCGGAUCCAGAUCUGGGGCUGGCAGACCCUCAUAUAUCAAGAGCAAACCAAGAAUUAAUGCAGGCACUCAAAGGUAGUGAAUGGACGGUUUAAUGAAGGACAGUGGACGCUGUUCUUCAUUAAUCUGCCAUUCACUACCAUUGAGUGCCUGGAUCAUUUUUUGGUUUACUAUUUAGAAUAUGACUGUAUGCAUUAAAUAAGUAUAAUGUUUAAUUAUCUGCCCCGGUGGCUUAUUAAAAGAAUAGAAAGACUUGAAACAAGAACUCUGUAGCUUUUGCAAGCUGAUUUUAGAUACACCCCUAUUAAACAAAUAAAUAAACUGCCUGAUUUCAAAACUACCAAGCCCCAAUACUGCUGUAAGAAAGUCAGUGCUCCAUCAGCUGAUCGUCUGCAAUAAGCAAAGCCUGAUUUCAGAAUUAUCAAGACCCAAUACUGCUGUAAGAAAGUAUGUGCUCCAUCAGCUGAUUUUCUGCAAUAAGCAAAGGUAGACUUCUGGAAGACCACACGAAGACUCUAUCCUGCACAGCAUCAUUUAUAUAUAAUUUAGCCACCCUGUACAUUUAUUUUAUAUAUCCUGUGGGCAUAUUAUAUUUUCUUGCCUUUAUAUCCUGUCUGUCAUGCUAAAGUGUAGUUUUGCUAGCCCUGUAUGAAAUAGUUUUAUUCACCUAUAAGCAUUCCUCUAUUUCCCCUCUGAUUUCUGACUGACCUCUGACCCCCUCCCUUUUUUUAUUGGUAUGUUUUUUUUUAAAUAACCAUCCCUUCAUCUCUGUGCCUAGAUACAUAUCCCCCUCCCUCAGCUUUAUUGCAAGCCAAUCUGACCCUCACAUAUCUUUAUUCAACAGCCUGAUUUCAAAACUAUCAAGCCCCAGUACUGCUGUAAGAAAGUCUGAUACCAGCCCUCCCCUCACCACCCCACCACAUGCUCAUUAUUACAUUUAUAGAUUGUCUGUCACACCCAAAUUUUAGAUAAGUAAAAAUAACAGGUGUACACACUGCCCCUUAUUAGUACACUCCUGCACUUUCUUAAGCCAUAAAACUUAAUAUUUACCCUGCCUUCACCUGCUCACGAUAUUCCAGUUAUUUCCAAUUUACUUUUUUCCCAGUUUAGACAUGAUCUGUCUUCUCCUCCUCUUUAUUUUCUCCUUCUCCCUUAGUAUAAAAAUCUCUCCUUACACCCACUUCACUCACCCCCCCAUCCAUAUUUACAUAUACCCUUCUCUCAUCUCAUGCCUUGCAUUCAGUUUUCUACUCUCUCACUCCUACCCACAAUAGAUAUCAUCCUAGACCCAAUGCAUACAAAACCCAUUUACACCUCCUGUCACUUUCUCUCCUCCUGCUUCUAGCAGCUGGUGAUGUCUCUCCCAAUCCAGGGCCCUUCACCUUCUCUACACACACUAAGAAAACUAGAAACCCCACAAACCUCAUCACAAUACCCACAAUGCAUUAUAAUACACACAAAAAAAAAAACGAAAAAAAAAAAAAAAUGGAUCGGCAAAGUUUCCAGUCUUUGUAGACUCUCUUUAACAAUGCUGCUAAUAUGGUAGCAACAAGUGAGUAGCCAGAUAUCUGCCAAUAGUGCUGUGACUGAAUCACAUAGCUCAAGAGCUCCUGCUUAAUGGGGGUAUAUAAUGUUAUGGUGCUUGGACUGCCUUUCAUUUAAGACAUGAAGUAUACAUUGUUAUGGACCUGGUGCAUUCCCAUUGUACCUACAUAUGUUUUGUAUGCGAUUUUUAUCUAAUGGAGGAAUUGUUUAUAAUGCACACAUUUCGUUAAUUCAAUAAUGCUGAUGCAUGUAUAUUUUUGUCUCACAGUUACAUUAAGACAUCAGGCAAUGCUACAGUUGAUCACUUGUCAAAAUAUUUAGCCGUUCGUUUGGCGCUUGAAGAAUUUCGCAGUAAAGGAGAGAACAACACAAUGAACCUCAACACCGCCAGUGAAAAACAGUACACCAUUUACAUUGCAACUGCCAGUGGACAGUUUACUGUAAGUAUCAGAAACAGGGCAUCCUACAGUCAUUUGAGUGUGCAUGAAACUUCAAGCACAGUUUCCUCUCCUUAAAUCCUCAGAAUUAGUUUUUUUUGGUGCUAAACUGAUGACUUACAGCUUGCUUCAAUUGCAACAUUUUUACCAAUGCUGGCAUUGGUGACUCCAAAAGCUAGUAAAAAGUACAGAAAAAGUAAAAAUGCACUCGGGUACAAAAGAUGUUAUAAAAAAAGUAAACAUCUUGGUUGUAGUAACCCUCUCUGUAGUGGUUUGCUCCCGCAAUGCCAAAACCAAUUCCUCUUUUUCCACUGCCAAGACCAAGUUCUCCCUCCGCUUAGUCUUCCUUUUAUGACCUCAUUCCUGCACUCCUCUAAUGCAGGAGGAGGAGUGAGGUCAGCGCGACUAGAGAAAGAGGAGAGCUGGGACAGGGGGGAAAAGCCAUGUUGUCAUUGACUGUCUGGCACCAGCAUGCCAAAACCCCUUCAGCAGAUAAGGGUUUAAUCUCUGUAUGUGCAGCAUUUGAUGGCACCGUUUCAGGCACCAUGACUACUUUAAAUCACUGAAGAGGUCAUGGUGCUUGGAAUAAACCUUUAAAGGACCACUAUCGGCACCCAGACCACUUCAGCUCAAUGAAGAGGUCUGGGUGCCAGGUCACUCUAGUUUUAACCCUGCAGCUGAAAAUAUAGCAGAUUCAGAGAAACUGCUAUGUUUCACUGAGGGUUAAUCCAGCCUCUAGUGGCUGUCUCACUGACAGCCGCUAGAGGAGCUUCUGCGAUUCUCACUGUGAAAAUCAGUGAGAAGACGCUGGACAUCCAUAGGAAGGCAUUGAGUAAUUUCCUAUGGGCAGUUUGAAUGCGCACGGCCCUUGCCGCGCAUGCAUAUUCUGAGCUGACGCCGGCAGGGGGAGGAGAGGUAAGUGUCUGAAGGGGUUUUAACCCCUUCAGCCCAGCGGGAGGAAGCCUAAUGACCCUAUAGUGCCAGGAAAACGAGUUUGUUUUCCUGGCCCUAUAGUGGUCCUUUAAUGGCAAUUGUAUCAGAGCUGCGUGUACCCUGGCGGGGUACCUCCGCCCAGGAUCGCUUCCUAGCUGGAACCGGGGAAAACCUCAGGGCUUUUGCCCCAGUCGCCGUGGCUUGACUGGGGUCCUCCUAGUCUCUCAGUCCUAAAACAGGAUAGGGGACUAGCUCUGUUCCCUCCUAGGGACUGGACAACAGUCUUGGGAGCUGUAGUCCUUAAUGGGACUUUCCCCGCCAAAUCCUCCACAAGCUGAAACAAGGUGCUGAGCAGUGAUUAGCCUUUUCCCCUCCCAGUAACUAGACUACACAUGGUUCUGGAAGAACAACUGAUUGCAAUGAGCCAAACUCUGCCUUUUAUGCACAGACCCCAGCAGGGGGUCUCCAUUGUAUUCAACACAAGCCCCUUUUAGUAAUCUCUAUAUUAUACAUCCCCAAAUAGCCAUGAUCUGAGCACCCACGUUCUCCAAAUAGCGCUCAGAUCCAUGCAGUGUAGGGGAAACGCCACAGUACUAAAGUCAACGUUCGGGAUCUCCGGCGGCUGCAUUACGGGGUGCUCUGCCUGGCUCUCAGGUAGCGUUUGCUCCCCUUAGUCUCAGGCUCCUUCCCUCCAAAAAGCACUUUCCUGGCAGAUUUCAAAGUGGUUCAAAACCCCGAACCAAGUUGUCCGGGAACCGCACGGUCACCUCGUGUUGAAAACCAUUCCAUAACAUUCACGGCUAAGAACCACUGAGGUGACCCGGGACCCACGAAGUCCUCAUGCCGAAAUUAGUUUCAUAGCAGUCAUGGCUAAGUACCGCUGAGGAUCAUUCAUGGGUUUGGUUCAUGCGAACGGCUGCCAGGGAGCUAGCAUUCGGUUCCAUUAGUGAGAAGGGACAGUGCCGAACCAGGGGCACCCAGGGAAGGCUGCUAAUGGCGCCUGGCCAGGGUAACUCCCAAAUGGUGUCUCAGACCUGGACCAUAGUGGGCAGGAAGCCGGCUUCCACACUCCUCCAGGAGUCCGUGGCAAACAUUCGUUGGAAGGAGUGUUUGACACACCAAUAUUUAUUGAUAAAAGGGCGUUUGCCUGAAAUAUUUUAAAGUAAAAAAAAAACAACAAAAAAAAAAACGGUUAACUCGAGUCAGUAACCAAGCAUGCAUGAGGGUUAAUGAGGCUCUUCUUUAUAGUCUGACACUGAGUUACUAAACAUGUUGAACAUAGUCGUGAAACAUGCUGUGCUAUUGCAUGGUCAGGGUCAGUCUAGUGCGUGUUGGUCAGUACAAUUAGCGUAGCGGUAGUGGUGAUAGGGGUAGGUACUGUGAGUGCUUGCAGUGAGUUAGUGUAGACCAGAGUGGCUGAGUGCCUGUGAGACAGAUUGAACCGCUGUGCAGUAGGAUGUGCGUAUAGUGUUAUGUCGAGUUGAUGAAAGCAAAGAUUUCCAAACGGUCAAUAAAAAUUAACUGAAUUGGCAAUGUUGCACAAACCGUCCAGGCAAGGGAUGAUACAGAACAGUGAGUGAAAUAAAGGCAUGGCAGUAACUGAGAUACACCGGUAGUGCUUUGCUGGAAGUUCACCCUAUCCCCAGUUUUGGCACCUGAUCUCCUUGGUUUGUGAAAGUCUUAAUGGCCCAGGGCUUGUCGUUCCGUCCAGCCCAUGCCCGAGUCGGGAUCCCAUACCCGUCGGUCCGGCCUCGUGCUGCUCCUCUACCGGUGUCCCGGUGUGAUGCAGUCCCAGCUUGAUCCUGAGGUUUCUUCCGGAUUCUCUGCCCUGGAUUGCAGCGCUGAGAUUUGGUCGCCUUGGGGACCCAGUAAGUGCCAUGGGGUCGGUUGUGUCGCCUCUGCUGAUGUAAGUUGGUAGUGCGGAGAUUACAAGCUUAGUGGGUCGAUGGGUAUGAGGAGAUGAGCCUUGUGAUGAGCUGCCGCCCUGUUCCCUCUCCUUGCGUUGCUUGUGCCAGCAUUGUCGCCUUGGCGCUUUUUAUAGGUCUGCUUCUUCAAGCUCAUUGUGCCUCUCAGAUGCGAACAGGAGGGCAGUGCUGCAGGGGUGUACCCGUCCGGGGUCUGUGUAAGUGCCUGCUUUCCUCUCAGCUCUAGCUGCCUCCAGCCUAGUGUGGAUGUUGAGCCCCUGGGCUAUGUCAUUAUGCUUGAUGGCGGUCUCUGCCAUUUUGUGGUCGGUAGGCUUCGCCUGGGGCUGCUGCGAUACAGCUCGGUCGGGCUCUCCUGGGACCGAGAACCCCCAUCGGUCCAUGGGGGGGUGGGGGGGAAACAAGGGCUCCUGUUCAGGAUUGUAGCCGUUGGGGGCAGCAGGGGAGCAGCCGCCUCCCCCGCACCGUCCAUGCUUGUAGGCCUUGGAUGUCGCAUUGGUGUUUCCUGCAGGGUAGGCUGCUUGUUCGGUGCCCAAAAGUGCCCCUUGUUAUCACCUCACAGUUUAUGACCCAUUUGGGGCUUUUAAGUACUUUUUGUGGUUAGUAGUCAGCAAUGUGUGCCUGGCAGAGCAGGAGCAGCACUAUCCUGCGUCCGAUCAGCUCAGCAGCCUGGCCCCGCCCCCCUGUUUUACCCAUUUUACGUUAAUUAAUAUAUACUAUGUGCAUGUAUGUGCCUCUUUUUCUCGUUUUGCUGUGGGGCAGCCAUUCUUGAUCCUUCAAAAGUAUAUAUACUUUGCAUCACUUUAAAUUGAAUUUCUUUAUUAACAUUUUUCCUUUCUCCUUUUCUUAUCACAGGUGUUAAACGGCUCAUUUUCCUUGGAAUUAGUCAGUGAGAAGUAUUGGAAGGUUAACAAACCGAUGGAACUGUACUAUGCACCUACAAAGGAGCACAAAUAGUGAUGGACUUUGUCAACUUUUUUUUUUUUUUUUUCUGUCAUAUAUAAUAUGUUAUACAUCUAAGAUAAUAUAUUAUAUAGUAGAGGAGUCAUACACUCACUUGGAAAUGUUGCACUUUUAAAACAAGUGAGACCCUCUGAUCUAGUUCAACUGUUUUUUAUUUCUUGUUUCUUUAUAAGUACCGGUAUAUUUCUAAAUAAGCUCUCUGUUUUGGUAUUAAGAUCCCUGCAGCCAACAGCCAUAGAAAUGGAAUUUCUAAAAGUUACGACGAGGCCUCUGUAUUGUGUUGCAGGAGAGGUUUCUUUCUUUUUUUAUUUUUUUUUUAUUGUAUUUUCUUUGUGUUUUUUUCUAAUUUUGGAAUACAAUUAUUUAUUGAUUACUUAGAUAGGUUGGUAAUUAUACAUAUGGCACUGAAGGUAAAUUAUUCUGUUGUAAGCACAGGUAAUGCUGUAUAUCAAGGACAUGUUUUUUAUUUAAUUGCAAGUUUUCCCAAGUACAAAAGAACUAUACAUUUGAUAUACACUAAUUUUAGUUAAAAGGUUGAGAAAUUAGUGUCUGUUGGUACAAGUGGGUACCGUGAUGUAUUACACAUAUCAGCAUAUGAAUGACAUGUGUUACUUUUUUAACAAUCCCAUAUCCUUGUUACAUAGAUCAACGUUUGCACAAGUAGGAUCCAGUUUUGUAAAGGAGAAAUUUUUCGUUUUUUUUUUUUUUUUUCUUAACCCCUUUAUGAACCUCAAAGUAAAGAAUGCAUUGUAAUGUGUUAAACAACUUAGGCACUCAAAUGUUAAUCCUAAAGUAUAAGGCUGGGGUUCUCUAAGCACGAUAACUGUUACAGCCUGCUGUAGUUGUUAUGGUGCCAGGAGUAGCCUGGUUGCCUCCCAGACAUUUGCAAACCGUUUGGUCACUUCUGAAGCUGGAUACUGCUAGUGUUGCAGUGUAUAGCAUCAGAGGAGGAAGCACCCAGUGCCUGGCAGACCUCAGGUAAGUUGUCAAAUGGUUAAAAUACUUACCCUGAGAGGGUACCAGACCACUCUUGGCUCUAUAAGCUCUGCCGCGGCUGUAGUGGUUAUAGUGCUCAUAGUGUUUGUUUGGUGUUAACACUCAGCUACAAUUGGGCUAUAUUUCCCAAGGUUUGCGGAAUUAUAGUAUAAAAAAAGAGGACCACCACGAUCAGUAGUACAUGGGCUAGGAUUAACCCUUUCAGUGCCAGAGGUUAGGUUUUGUUGUAAAUAAAGUAUUUUCAGUUUAUAAAACUAAAUUCAUUCUUAUAUGUUUAUCCUCUAUGUUCCUAUUUUUAUGUUGAGAACAAUAGGGUAUUUGCCAUAGGUGGAAUGCUUGUAACAAAACAUUAAAAGUAAUAUCCGGAAUCAUGUCUGGAGUCCGACUUGUAUGAACGUUUUCUAGUCUUGUA
Molecule: long non-coding RNA, 16663 nt
Filed under: Pelobates cultripes (western spadefoot toad)
Lineage: Eukaryota; Metazoa; Chordata; Amphibia; Anura; Pelobatidae
Source: RNAcentral